This is a long non-coding RNA of Capsicum annuum, 1562 nucleotides long. RefSeq lists it as uncharacterized. Lineage: Eukaryota; Viridiplantae; Streptophyta; Magnoliopsida; Solanales; Solanaceae. The transcript has 4 exons. The record is from RefSeq and is a predicted model, not a curated record.
UAGAACCCCCACUCUCUCUAAUACUCUCUCUACUCUACUCUUUUGUAAAAAUAUUCUGAGAGUUAAUAAAAGCUCAUUGCUUCUGAGCACGAUCCAUCCGCCUUAAGGUUAUUUUAAUUUUUUGUAUUUUAAUUUUAAUUUUUACUUUUUACUAUUGCUAGCCGAUGAUGGGCUAAAUUUCUAGUGUUGAACUAUAGCAAAAUAUGUUACAUGUAUGAAAUGACAUAUUGUUAUUAAAAUACAAAUUGUAAACUUCCAUUGUUGGUCUAUGUGUUAAGAUGCUACAGUUAUGAGUUUAAUCUUGGCAUUUAUGUCAGAAGUCCCUGUAAAGGCCAAAUUAACCAGAUGGGGCGUGGAAGGACCAUGAUGGGGACUUGGUUUAAUAUUAGACUCAUGACUAAGGUUUAAUAACAUGUAGUAAAGGUACCAAGUACAAUAAUGAAGCAAUCCAUUUCUCUUUUUAACAUUUAUAAUAAUUAAGGACAAUUUAGUAAACUUAUCAAUUACGAUACUGUAUCAUAUCGUUAAAUCAAACAACAAAACUAUUAUUAAAAAGUAAUAAAUAAUACAAUCCAUUUAAAUAUUAUACUAUACUAUACUAUACAAUACAAUAUCAUAUCAUAUCAUAUCAUAUCAUAUAAUACCAUAUAAAACCAUGUCGCCAUUCAAACAAAGUGUAAAAGUUAAAUAUCCAUUCAUUUCGAGAACAACGGUGCAAUUAAAUGGUUCAUACACCCUAUAUUCGGCUGGAGUCGAUCACGACCUGCCCCAUUGAUACAGUAUACAACACCAUGUGGACUGACUGAGAUUAGGGGCACAAAACUGCGAACACAUUCAUUAAUUUUUUUUCAACAAACACAUCCAUUAAUUGGAGUGAAGAAAACGGACAAGAAGCAGAGUUAGUUAUCAGAAGAAAAAUCAGUAUUUCUUCGCGACUAGGAAUCGAAGGAGUGGUUAAAGUGAAAUUCUGGGAUUGGUAUCUGAAAAUUGUUGUUAUUUCCGCCAUCAUUGGUGGCUCCAUGGAGUUCUUCAUGAUUAAGACUGGCUUUUAUGAUAAGGUAACUGUUCUAGAAGCGGAAAAAAGAGCCUAUGAAAAUUCUCCUCAAGCCAAGGCUAUCAGAGACGCUCUUAAUCCAUGGAGACAUCAGGAUGCAGAAGCAAGAAAGAAUGCUUAGCUCUGACACUUCUGUAACCGAACUAGAAGGCAACUCAGGGAUUCGCUUUGAAGGAAAACAUCCCUGGCGCAGUGCUUCUUUGAUCUUGCUCCUAUUCAUAUUUCUCAUGGGUGUCGCUAGUAGCGUGUCACAGCUGAUUGUUUCACAAGCUUGGUGAUCACUUCAUUUAACAUGUGAUGGCGAAAGUCCUAUUAAGGCAAUCGAGCACAUAUCAAAAUGUAGACCUUGUGGAACCAAACUUGUUUAUUUUUCUUCUCUCUAGACGUUUAGUACUUCGCUUUCGUGGAUCUGCAUGUUUAUGAGAAGCAAUCAGUUGCACCGCUGGGAAGUGGACUAGGUAGCCAUUUGACUAUAUGUAUUUAUUCCACUAAUGAUUAUGUUUUUUUC